This 141-nucleotide ribosomal RNA is filed under the name uncultured Azoarcus sp. RNAcentral's name for it is "partial 16S ribosomal RNA". It matches the Rfam family "Bacterial small subunit ribosomal RNA", at positions 392 to 525 of the family's 1533-position model. The record is from RNAcentral. Lineage: Bacteria; Pseudomonadati; Pseudomonadota; Betaproteobacteria; Rhodocyclales; Zoogloeaceae.
CCAUGCCGCGUGAGUGAAGAAGGCCUUCGGGUUGUAAAGCUCUUUCGCAAGGGAAGAAAACGUGUGGGCUAAUAUCCUGCGCGGAUGACGGUACCUUGACAAGAAGCACCGGCUAACUACGUGCCAGCAGCCGCGGUAAUA